UUGAAUAUUCUCGAUGGGUUGUAGCUGGCUCCUCGGAGCAUGUGCACGCCUGUCUUGACUCUAUUCAUCCACCUGUGCACCUAUUGUAGUCUCAUUCGAGGGUAGUCGGUCGUCAAGACCGGAUGUGGGGGGAUGCAGCGCGAAAGUGCGGCACCUCUCUGGCUCUCGGUGGACUAUGUCUUUAUUCAUAAACCAUGUAGUAUGUUGCAGAAUGUAUUCAAUGGGCCUUUGUGCCUAUAAAAACCUUUA
This 249-nucleotide unclassified non-coding RNA is filed under the name uncultured Basidiomycota. RNAcentral's name for it is "sequence contains ITS1". Lineage: Eukaryota; Fungi; Basidiomycota. The record is from RNAcentral.